RNAcentral lists this small RNA (1208 nucleotides) under Pan troglodytes (chimpanzee). RNAcentral describes it as "processed transcript". The record is from RNAcentral. Lineage: Eukaryota; Metazoa; Chordata; Mammalia; Primates; Hominidae.
UGAAGCAAAGGAUAUGCAUGGGGUGGAAGGACGGCUUCGAACCUGGGACUCAGAUGCCUUGAGAACAAAUAGAUUGUUACAGCCUUGGGCUGCUGCGUAAUCACAGUUCCUCGAGGCUCUUCCUGAGCACAUGCCCAAGCAUCUGCCUCUGGAGAGACUGACUCCAAAUGCAGGUGCUUCCAUUGGAGCUAGGUCGGAGGCUGCUUUAUAUGACGAACUCCAGAAAUGGAUGCCAGAAUACGGAGGCCAAACCUUCUGAGUCUUGGACUGAGCAGCACCUACUUGUGGUCUGGACAGCUUAACCCAGAGUUCUUGGAAGAAUAAAUGCUGCUAGCAUCUGGUUAAUUUACUGGCAGACAGAAGCCUACUUACAGUGGCUUUCAACUUUUUGACCACAUCUUUACUGUGGAAUCUCAUCAAAGACUUGGAAGGAGGGGUGGUGAGAGGGGCGUGGGGGGUGGUGUGGAGGGUCGAGUUCUCUGUCGUCCCACAGUCACCCCCAGGACCACCUUGCGAAGCCGAAAAUACACACCUGCAUUUUACCGACAAGGAACGCCACUCAGAAAGCUGCAGACAUUUGCCUGGGGUCACGCUUACAGUGGGCAGAUGAACUGGAUGUAAAUACAGGAGCGGCAGAGAGGACAGGCAUGGAAAGGAGGCCUGUCUCCCACGGAGAACUCCUCUAGUGCCAGCAGACACGCAUGGUGGAACACGUGUGAGCAGGACAGGAGGGCCAUCUCUCUGGAACGCCGGCCCGCGCCCACGCGCUGACCGCCAGCAGCGGAGAGAGGGGCCAGGCAGAUGGAGCACUCGUGGGUCUCCCGGCGCAGAGCCUGCGGCACACAGGACGGGAAGAGGCCACGCGGCUCCCUGCAGGAAGCGUGCCCUGCAGCAGGCGCGAACCACCCGAGCGGCCUCCACGUGCACCUAGACAGGCGCGGGGGCUGGGUGCUCACACCUGGGCCCUUGCACCUGUGUCUGCCCAGAGGGGCUGGUCAGCACACCCUUUACAAUGAAGGCUCACAAAGUACACAACUCCAAGUGCCAGUCCAUGAAAGCAGUUCACAUAGACUUUUAAUGCAGUUGAGUCUAAUUUAUAUUUUACUAUCCACUUACCCUAUGUAACCAAAUAUCAUUUUUACACUUAUUAACAAUUCGUACUUUUUUCUUCCUUAAGAGGAAUUAAAGCAUUUCCUCAAUGAGAAAAA